GUACUCACUUCAGUAGUACAUAUUCGAAAACUGGAACAAUGCAAAUAUUGUGAAUCUGGCCCCUGCCCAAGGGUAACAUUAACAUUUGUGAAGUGAUCCAUGUUAUG
Molecule: small nuclear RNA, 107 nt
Filed under: Octodon degus (degu)
Lineage: Eukaryota; Metazoa; Chordata; Mammalia; Rodentia; Octodontidae
Source: RNAcentral